UUUAGAUCCUGGCUCAGGAUGAACGCUAGCGGAGGCCUAACACAUGCAAGCCGAGCGGUAUUUGUCUUUCGGGACAGAGAGAGCGGCGUACGGGUGCGGAACACGUGUGCAACCUGCCUUUAUCAGGGGGAUAGCCUUUCGAAAGGAAGAUUAAUACCCCAUUAAUAUAUCUGAUGGCAUCAUUAGAUAUUGAAAACUCCGGUGGAUAGAGAUGGGCACGCGCAAGAUUAGAUAGUUGGUGAGGUAACGGCUCACCAAGUCAGUGAUCUUUAGGGGGCCUGAGAGGGUGAUCCCCCACACUGGUACUGAGACACGGACCAGACUCCUACGGGAGGCAGCAGUGAGGAAUAUUGGACAAUGGGUGCGAGCCUGAUCCAGCCAUCCCGCGUGAAGGACGACGGUUCUAUGGAUUGUAAACUUCUUUUAUACUGGGAUAAACCUACUCUCGUGAGGGUAGCUGAAGGUACAGUAUGAAUAAGCACCGGCUAACUCCGUG
RNAcentral lists this ribosomal RNA (496 nucleotides) under uncultured Chryseobacterium sp. RNAcentral describes it as "bacterial SSU rRNA". It matches the Rfam family "Bacterial small subunit ribosomal RNA", at positions 11 to 507 of the family's 1533-position model. Lineage: Bacteria; Pseudomonadati; Bacteroidota; Flavobacteriia; Flavobacteriales; Weeksellaceae. The record is from RNAcentral.